This 253-nucleotide unclassified non-coding RNA is filed under the name uncultured Caryophanaceae bacterium. RNAcentral's name for it is "uncultured Planococcaceae bacterium contains 16S-23S intergenic spacer region". It matches the Rfam family "Bacterial small subunit ribosomal RNA", at positions 524 to 776 of the family's 1533-position model. The record is from RNAcentral. Lineage: Bacteria; Bacillati; Bacillota; Bacilli; Caryophanales; Caryophanaceae.
UACGUAGGCGGCAAGCGUUGUCCGGAAUUAUUGGGCGUAAAGCGCGCGCAGGCGGUCCUUUAAGUCUGAUGUGAAAGCCCACGGCUCAACCGUGGAGGGUCAUUGGAAACUGGAGGACUUGAGUGCAGAAGAGGAAAGUGGAAUUCCGCGUGUAGCGGUGAAAUGCGUAGAAAUGUGGAGGAACGCCAGUGACGAAGGCGACUUUCUGGUCUGUAACUGACGCUGAGGCGCGAAAGCGUGGGGAGCAAACAGG